RNAcentral lists this ribosomal RNA (466 nucleotides) under uncultured bacterium. RNAcentral's name for it is "bacterial SSU rRNA". It matches the Rfam family "Bacterial small subunit ribosomal RNA", at positions 28 to 376 of the family's 1533-position model. The record is from RNAcentral.
GAUGAACGCUGGCGGCGUGCUUAACACAUGCAAGUCGAGCGGGCAAUUUAUCUAGCACUGAUUACUUCAAAUGGAAAUCAUAAGUGUAAUCAUGAAUUUCUACCUUUAAUAAAGAAAAAAGAAAUUCAUGUACGCAAAUAGUGAUAACACAUUUUAGUGAAGUGAUGAGUGCUGGAUAAAUUGCUAGCGGCGGACGGGUGCGUAACACGUGGGUAACCUGCCCCUAUCACUGGGAUAACACACUGAAAAGUGUGCUAAUACCAGAUAAUAUAAGCUUUUGGCAUCAUUAGCUUAUCAAAGAAUUUCGGAUAGGGAUGGGCCCGCGUCUGAUUAGCUAGUUGGUGAGGUAACGGCUCACCAAGGCAACGAUCAGUAGCCGACCUGAGAGGGUGAUCGGCCACACUGGAACUGAGACACGGUCCAGACUCCUACGGGAGGCAGCAGUGGGGAAUAUUGCACAAUGGGC